Molecule: ribosomal RNA, 253 nt
Filed under: uncultured bacterium
Lineage: Bacteria
Description: partial 16S ribosomal RNA
Rfam family: Bacterial small subunit ribosomal RNA
Source: RNAcentral
UACGAAGGGGGCUAGCGUUGUUCGGAAUCACUGGGCGUAAAGGGCGCGUAGGCGGCCGGUCAAGUCGGGGGUGAAAGCCUGUGGCUCAACCACAGAAUUGCCUUCGAUACUGUUUGGCUUGAGACCGGAAGAGGUUAGUGGAACUGCGAGUGUAGAGGUGAAAUUCGUAGAUAUUCGCAAGAACACCAGUGGCGAAGGCGGCUGACUGGUCCGGUUCUGACGCUGAGGCGCGAAAGCGUGGGGAGCAAACAGG